UUUACUCUCUCCCCGUUUCUAUGUGAAGUUCUAUGAACUUUAACACAUGUAUAGAUCUGUAUAACCACACCAUAAUCAGGAUACAGAACAGUUCCAUCAUCCCAAAUAACCGUGCUAUCCCUUUAUAGUCAUACCCUCCCCCUACUCCAUCCCCUGUCAAUCACUCCACUUCCUGUCAAUCACUGAUCUGUUCUCCAUCCCUACAGUUUUAUCUUUUCCAGAAUGUCAUAUAAAUGGAAUCAUACAGUCUGCAAUCUUUUGAGACUGACUUCUUUCACUCAGCAUAAUACCUUUGAGAUUAUCCAAGUUUGUUGCAUGUAGUAACAGUUCCUUUUUGGUUGCUGAGUAAUAUUCUAUUUUCUGAAUGUAACACAGUUUGUUGCUGAACAUUUGGGUCGUUUCCAGUUUUUUGGCAACUUCAAAGAGCUAUAAACAUUUAUGUACAAGUUCAGUAAGCUGUUUUUUUGUUUGUUUAUCGACAGUAUACCAGAUUUCCCUUUAGCUUCGUCUUUCACCAGGGUGCGAGGCAGCAGGAAUGGUCCAGGUGCCUGCCUUCUAACCUCCCCGUCUGCUUGGAACUUUUCCUGCGCCCAGGACCACCCUGCCUGAGUCUCAAAUGUUUUUUCCUUUCCUGGUCAUCUACCCAGAAAACACCUUCAUUUCCUCUGCAACACACCCAAGGCCCAGGUGCACAGAUCUCCGUGACAGCCUGGAUGAUAACUGAGCUACAUCUUUAAACCCGUGAUUUCCUGCAAGCAUUUGGCAGCUGGGCCUACCCCGGGAGGCGGAACACGCAGGCGGCACCAGCAGAGAUCUGAACUCAGGCGCCGGCUGAGCACUGGGCAGCGUCCGCACGACACGGCGCUCCCGUGCUGCCCCGCGCGCUCCCGCCCCAGCCUCGUCACCUCGCGAGAUCUGGGCAUGAAGUCCCGCUCCACCGCGUGCCCCACGACCCGGCGUGGCUGGACAGGAGUUGCUUCUGCCGCUGGAACACUGUGUCCCUCCGCCGCCACGCUCCUGAGCUUCACGUGCCGCUCCUUAGCUGCGGUGAGCACCCUUGCUAAGGCAACAUUUCUGAUGGCGAGUCUGCUGGCUGCCGGCUUCCUUCUCCUUCGUGUCCUCCGCCUCCCCAGACCCGAGCACAGGCCUCCAGAUACGGCGCAGGCGGUAUGGACCGCCACCUACCACAACUCUAGGCAGUGGUUCCAAGGGUGUUGCUUCAUCCAUCUGGGUCACAGAAUGAAGAUGAUUUAGAGGAGAGCCACAGCUGGCCACCAUGACCAUGUUGCAAGAAUUAGAAAACAUCCUUUGUGGGUGACGUCCCUUGAGCUGGUGCAGCCUGCUGGUUUGUUAGGAUAGCUCCUUGAAUAGUGAGGCCUGCCUUUUCGGAUCCUGCUUCUCCUAACAUCUUAAGACCUUGGAAAAAUGCACUAAUGGGUUUUGUUCUAACUCUGCCUGGUCAUGUAGACACGAUUUUGGUCUUCAGUUGAAUUUGGCAGCCAUGGAAUUUGAGGUUGUGUAUAAAGUCAUCCAAAUUGGCAGCUCCAGCCACAUUGUUGGGACUAAUAUUACAGUGAACAAGUCCACUCAGGGCAAAAGGAAUCAGGCAGAAUUGCUGGAAUCACUACAAUUUUCAGAUGUACUCUCACCUCCCUGAAGAUUUAAAAACUACUCCUUAAGAAAUCCAUUAUUUAUAAUUAGUCUUCUUGAGUCUUAACAAUUUAUUUUUGUUACAUUUUUAUAUAUACAUUCUUAGGGCCAUUAGAAAAACCCACACACCUAUUCUCAGCCAUUACUUGGAUUCAACUCACUGUCAAAUCUACCAUUCUUUUUGCUUUGCUCUCUAUAUCCUUGUAAAAAGAAAACCCCCCAAAAAGCCACCCUCCAAUCCCUUCCCUCCAUGAAAGAACUGAUUUAAAAAUAAAAAGGCUGGAAUCAAUAGACCAGAUACGUCAGACUCAAAUGCUUAAAGGAUUAAGAAUGUGGCGGUGUAGCACAAGUUUUGGAGUUCUCUUACCUGAGCUGCCUCUGGCUAUAUUUGAGAGCUGGCAUUUCCCCCCUCCACCGCCUCCAUCAGAGGUGUUGCCAGUGUUUUUGUUAUCUCUGCUUGUGCCUCCAGGGUUGCUGGUGCCUUUGCUGCUGGUUUUGCUGUGGUCACAUGCAUCACCACCAGGGUCACUGGGAUGGCAGGCACCUCUGCUGUGUCCAAGGUUGCCUGGGUCACUAACACUGCUGCUGUGGUUGAUGCAGGGGAGCCAAGGUCACUGGCACCUUCACUGCACCCAAGGUUGUCAGGUUCCCAGGUACAACCACCAAAAGCAGGAAGGGUGGAGUUGCAGGAGCUGCCACUGCUCUCUCAGGGGGCCAGGGUCACAUUCCCUGUGGAGCCUGGGUUCCUUGUGGCCAUAAGUGCCACCGUGGCUGGGGGACUGGAGUCACAUGUACUCCUCCACUGAUGCUAUCAGGUUCUCUGGGGGUGAAGGCACCACUGCAGCUGGAGAGGGGGCGAGGGUCAUGGGCCCCACCUCCCCCACUGCUACUGGGAUUACUGGGGCUGUGGGCUCAGCUGCUGCAGCCAGGGAGGUGUGGUCUCAGGCCCCAUCUCUGCUGUUUCCCUGGUCUCACCACCUCUAUGCAUUCCAGUCUACCCGCCUUCAGAUGUACAGAUGUGUGGAUCCCUCCAGUGUCCUGGUGUGCUGAGCAGAGGAAACUUUGUUGAGUUAUGAAUAUCCUACCUAGUUGUAGAUUGAAGGAAAGAAACAAAAGGAGAAUCUCAUGCCACCAUGAUGCUGAUGUCACUCCUUGAUCUGUCUAUUCUUUUACCAAUAUUACUGCUUUCAUCAUUUUGGGUCUAUGAUUAAUAAAUUAUUUCAUCCCAUAAUCAUUGAGUACCUGGUGUGUGUCUGAAACUGUGUUUGGCAUGAGGAUACAGCAGUUUAUCAGGUGGACAUAGUUCCUGCCCUCACAUUCAUUGUUUCUAGUGCAGGAAACAGGAAAUAAUCAAUGUGUACAACCUAGUGAGCCAUGGGCACUGAGAAAAGAGGCACAAGGUGUUAGGGGAACAUAUGGUAAGGGUCUAUUCCACACUAGGAGUCAAUGAGGAUUCCUGGAUGAGUGAUAUCUAAGUUUAGUCCUGAGGUUCAUGGUAGGCAGGCAAACAGACGAGAGAGAAGUUGAAGAUGGAUGGAACAACAACCUGACAAUCUGAGAGUCAAUAGAGAGCCUGGUGCAUUUGAGAAGCUGAAAACAAUUCUGCAUGGCUGGAGCAGAGUACAGAGGGUUGGUUCCGGACAGGGGAGCCAAACUAUGUUAAGGAUCAUUGCCUUUACCCUGAAGACCAUGGGGAAUCAUUGAAAAGGUUUAAAUAAGAGAGUGACUUGACCAGAUUCACAUUUAAGGAAGAUCUGUCUGGCUGCAACAUAGAGGAUCAAUUGGAGUGGAGUAAAAAAUUUUGUCAGGGACAUUCGUUGUUCUAAUAAAUCAAAGGAAAAGAAAAUUGAUGCUGGCCUGAACUAGGGUAGUGGUACCAGGAAUGGAGAGAAUAUAGUGGAUCUGACAAAGUAUAAUUUGGUAUAUUUGGAAGAUAUUUAGGAGGUAAAAUUGGCAGAAAUUGGUGAUUGAUUGGAUGCUGAAUAUAAGGGAGAGGGAGGAAUGAGAGCUGAUAGCACAGGACGGUUGGGUACAUGUUGGUUCCAUUCACUGAGAGGGAAUGCAGGAAAGGUGAAUAUGAGAUGAGAAGAUGCUAAUUUUUGUGUAUGUUAAGUUUGAGAUGUAUGUGGUACACCCAGAACUACACGUCCAACAGGCUAUUGAAGUCUGAAUGAGAGUAAGACCAUCUGGAGCACAAAUUUGGUUGUCUUCAGUAUUUGAAGGAUGGACUAAGCUAUAAGGGUGGAUGUGAUCUCCCAGGCAGGAUUUAUAGAGUGAAAAUAGCAGAAGGGAAAAACAGAAAAGAGUGAUAGCUAAAGGUAUAAAGAUCAAUGUAAUUCAGACUUUCUAUCCAGGAAUAUUUUAUGACUGUCCUUUACUCAAAUCUUUUAUAACUCUCUGGAAAGUUUAUAGCUCUCUGUGGGUUUUGCAAAUUUUUUGUUAUCGUUGUUCCUGGUUAACUGCUGUUUUUUUCCUCUUAUUUUAAAUGUAAUCAUCUUAUUCUUGUUACUUUAUUAGUUACUAACCAGCUAUUGCUGGUACACAG
RNAcentral lists this long non-coding RNA (4195 nucleotides) under Equus caballus (horse). Its description in RNAcentral is "lncRNA (ENSECAG00000053078.1)". Lineage: Eukaryota; Metazoa; Chordata; Mammalia; Perissodactyla; Equidae. The record is from RNAcentral.